RNAcentral lists this unclassified non-coding RNA (18 nucleotides) under Mus musculus (house mouse). RNAcentral describes it as "oocyte_clustered_small_RNA8538". Lineage: Eukaryota; Metazoa; Chordata; Mammalia; Rodentia; Muridae. The record is from RNAcentral.
UAUUCCUGCAACAAACAU